Molecule: ribosomal RNA, 732 nt
Filed under: uncultured Staphylococcus sp.
Lineage: Bacteria; Bacillati; Bacillota; Bacilli; Caryophanales; Staphylococcaceae
Description: bacterial SSU rRNA
Rfam family: Bacterial small subunit ribosomal RNA
Source: RNAcentral
CGAACAGAUGAGGAGCUUGCUCCUCUGACGUUAGCGGCGGACGGGUGAGUAACACGUGGAUAACCUACCUAUAAGACUGGGAUAACUUCGGGAAACCGGAGCUAAUACCGGAUAAUAUAUUGAACCGCAUGGUUCAAUAGUGAAAGACGGUUUUGCUGUCACUUAUAGAUGGAUCCGCGCCGCAUUAGCUAGUUGGUAAGGUAACGGCUUACCAAGGCAACGAUGCGUAGCCGACCUGAGAGGGUGAUCGGCCACACUGGAACUGAGACACGGUCCAGACUCCUACGGGAGGCAGCAGUAGGGAAUCUUCCGCAAUGGGCGAAAGCCUGACGGAGCAACGCCGCGUGAGUGAUGAAGGUCUUCGGAUCGUAAAACUCUGUUAUUAGGGAAGAACAAAUGUGUAAGUAACUAUGCACGUCUUGACGGUACCUAAUCAGAAAGCCACGGCUAACUACGUGCCAGCAGCCGCGGUAAUACGUAGGUGGCAAGCGUUAUCCGGAAUUAUUGGGCGUAAAGCGCGCGUAGGCGGUUUUUUAAGUCUGAUGUGAAAGCCCACGGCUCAACCGUGGAGGGUCAUUGGAAACUGGAAAACUUGAGUGCAGAAGAGGAAAGUGGAAUUCCAUGUGUAGCGGUGAAAUGCGCAGAGAUAUGGAGGAACACCAGUGGCGAAGGCGACUUUCUGGUCUGUAACUGACGCUGAUGUGCGAAAGCGUGGGGAUCAAACAGGAUUAG